AGCUUGCUCUGGUGGCGAGUGGCGAACGGGUGAGCUAAUAUAUCGGAACGUACCCUAGAGUGGGGGAUAACGUAGCGAAAGUUACGCUAAUACCGCAUACGAUCUAAGGAUGAAAGUGGGGGAUCGCAAGACCUCAUGCUCGUGGAGCGGCCGAUAUCUGAUUAGCUAGUUGGUAGGGUAAAAGCCUACCAAGGCAUCGAUCAGUAGCUGGUCUGAGAGGACGACCAGCCACACUGGAACUGAGACACGGUCCAGACUCCUACGGGAGGCAGCAGUGGGGAAUUUUGGACAAUGGGCGAAAGCCUGAUCCAGCAAUGCCGCGUGAGUGAAGAAGGCCUUCGGGUUGUAAAGCUCUUUUGUCAGGGAAGAAACGGUGANAGCUAAUAUCUCUUGCUAAUGACGGUACCUGAAGAAUAAGCACCGGCUAACUACGUGCCAGCAGCCGCGGUAAUACGUAGGGUGCAAGCGUUAAUCGGAAUUACUGGGCGUAAAGCGUGCGCAGGCGGUUUUGUAAGUCUGAUGUGAAAUCCCCGGGCUCAACCUGGGAAUUGCAUUGGAGACUGCAAGGCUAGAAUCUGGCAGAGGGGGGUAGAAUUCCACGUGUAGCAGUGAAAUGCGUAGAUAUGUGGAGGAACACCGAUGGCGA
Molecule: ribosomal RNA, 646 nt
Filed under: unidentified microorganism
Description: bacterial SSU rRNA
Rfam family: Bacterial small subunit ribosomal RNA
Source: RNAcentral